GCUUGCUUCAGCCAACAUAUACUAAAAUUGGAAUGAUAUAGAAAUUAGCAUGGCCCCUGCACAACGAUUACAUGCAAAUUUGUGAUGUGCUCCAUAUGUUU
Small nuclear RNA from Pteropus vampyrus (large flying fox), 101 nucleotides. Lineage: Eukaryota; Metazoa; Chordata; Mammalia; Chiroptera; Pteropodidae. The record is from Ensembl.